RNAcentral lists this long non-coding RNA (467 nucleotides) under Rattus norvegicus (Norway rat). RNAcentral's name for it is "long non-coding RNA NONRATT029664". The record is from RNAcentral. Lineage: Eukaryota; Metazoa; Chordata; Mammalia; Rodentia; Muridae.
AGGCACAUAAUUCAGUUUCUCCAGAUGCAGCAGGAAUCUGGCUCCCAGACACCAGCUCUUUCUUCAGGUCCACAUGUGGAUGUCUGAGAGCCUGAGAACCUACACCUGGAUGAUCAAAACCAAAGGCAGGGAGGCUUCCCUCACAUGCUACCCAGACACAGCAGGUAAGGGUGGCAGGUGACUCUGCCAUGGCCUUAGCACAGACUGUCAUUGCCGUCCUGCCUGCAGAAGCAGCCCAGUCUCUGACCCUGCCAAAACUCCACUGUGACUGUCUUCCAAUUUGCCAGUGGUUCCAAGUCGGGGAAUCUCAUAGUCCUUUGCAGGCCAAGCAGCAGCAGCAGAUGCCAUAGUCGGGGCAGUGCACUUCAAGGUCAGCCCUGGAGAGAGACAGACGGGUUUAUUCUAGCUUUAGGUAUCUGAACCAGUGAAGUCUAAUGCAAAAUAAAUGCAUGUCUGGUUUUACUCUC